Long non-coding RNA from Mercenaria mercenaria, 1280 nucleotides. RefSeq lists it as uncharacterized. The transcript has 4 exons. The record is from RefSeq and is a predicted model, not a curated record. Lineage: Eukaryota; Metazoa; Mollusca; Bivalvia; Venerida; Veneridae.
GUUGCAUCGGAGCUAUCAAUUUUAAUAUUACGCAUAGAAAAAGAUUAGCAUGGUAAAUUGCAUACCGGUUAUUAAGUUAUUAAAUCAACCCGGAUACCCUCAUUUACGUCUGGAUUUGCAGUGGAUUUGUGCAAGGUCCUAAAACUUGAAGCCAAAUAUGAAAUUUGUCCUGUUAUCUGCGGUUUGCAGCGUAAUAUUAAAUGGACGAACUCUUGGAAAUGGUCAAAACAAAAGAGAUCUAAUAAUGAAAGCUUUGACUGAUAUUCGGAAAAAAGACAUCAGGUUUCCUCAGCAAAUGGUAGAGCUCCCGGAUUACUCUUUGUUACAAUAUGACCUCUUUGGAAAUCAAAACGGCCUCAAUGGAAAAGUGAGCAUGAUACAAGCAGAACUUCAAGUGUUGAUAGACAAACUGGAAAUAUUCAAAGGAAAGUUGUGUUUUAUAGUUAACAAAACAUCUGUUUGCGAUUUAGUUUUAAGGUAUUAGGUAUAGAGUCAUCCUCAAAAAGCAAAUAAAGUUAUAAUCAAAGGUAGAAUUUCAUGUCAUUCUACAUUUCAGUACAUUUCAGUUAUCUUUCUGAAUUUUCAGGACUUAACUACAAUUUGUGUCUACCUUUUGAAUUCCUUCAUUAAUGCUUUCCGUUUUAUAGAUUUAUUUGUAUGCUUUUAGCUCUCAUUUCUUUUUUGUUUUAUGAAAAAAAAAACAUGUGCUAUACGUAUUUCAAUUAUAUUUUUAACUGCAACCUCAAAUUUUAAAGAACACAUGUCCUUAAACAACCUUAUAGUUUAAAGUAGACAUAUCCUUAAAGUUUGUUCUAUUAGAUUUUCAACUGCAACCUUAAACUUUAACAUAAAUAUAUCUUUUAAGUUGUUUUUUUUUUCAAUUACAUUUAAACUUCUACGUAAAUAUAUCUUUUAAGUUUGCUCAAUUCACAUUCUCAACUGCAACUUUAAUCAUCAAAGUACAAACAUCCUUUAAGUUUCUUCAAUUGUAUUCUCAACUAAAACCUUAAACUUUAACGUGAACACGUCCUUUAAGUUUGCUCAAUUACAUUCUCCACUGCAACCUUCAGGAGAAGAUGACGAUGGUGGAGAACAAACAGGUGAGCUACAAAUUGAGAUCGAUAACCUUAAUGACGAAAUUCGAAAGCUGACUGACACGCUGGGCGAAGCCAUUGAAUUAUCGUUGAAAAAUCCACUGUGGGACCUCGUUUGGAAACUUUUUGAGAUAUAUGGAGAUGAUUUCAUAGAACCUUUCUGGACCGCUCUUGAUUACGACGGUA